CUAUGCCAUACGCAACUUCGACCCUAACAACUAUAACAAAAUCGUUUCCAAUAAUCAAGACUAAUUCUUCAGACAAUCCUAUUUCCCGUGCACGCACCGUCAUCCUCUGAAACAAUCUACCACCGAACAUCAAAGGCGCCCAUUCCCUACAGAUUUUCAAGCACCAUCUACACAAAGCCAAACUGGCUACCUAUAUACCACCAUAAAUAAUUAUACUCUAAAAUUCGUUGUACAGUAUCCUAUAUGUUAAGUUGCGUGCAAUCUGUGAUAUGUUCGUGCAUAAUUGUCCUAGUACGUCUCGUUAUCCAUCAAUUGUUAAGGGGUCGAAUAUCGAUUGGAAUUUAGUUUCUGUUUUCUUCUCCUGUCACAG
Paramuricea clavata is the source of this 370-nucleotide non-coding RNA. Lineage: Eukaryota; Metazoa; Cnidaria; Anthozoa; Malacalcyonacea; Plexauridae. The record is from the annotation of a GenBank genome assembly.